Molecule: ribosomal RNA, 453 nt
Filed under: uncultured bacterium
Lineage: Bacteria
Description: partial 16S ribosomal RNA
Rfam family: Bacterial small subunit ribosomal RNA
Source: RNAcentral
GAUGAACGCUGGCGGCGUGCCUAAUACAUGCAAGACGAGCGGUAACACUUCGGGUGACGAGCGGCGGACGGCUGAGUAACACGUAGGAAUCUACCCCAGACUGAGGGAUAAGCACCGGAAACGGUGUCUAAUGCCGCAUACGCUCUAAGGAGUAAAGCUUCGGCGGUUGGGGAAGAGCCUGCGCAUGAUUAGCUUGUUGGUAAGGUAAUGGCUUACCAAGGCGACGAUCAUUAGCUGGUCUGAGAGGAUGAUCAGCCAGACUGGGACUGAGACACGGCCCAGACUCCUACGGGAGGCAGCAGUAGGGAAUUUUCCACAAUGGGCGAAAGCCUGAUGGAGCAACGCCGCGUGCAGGAUGAAGGCCUUCGGGUUGUAAACUGCUUUUAUAUGUGAAGAUUAUGACGGUAGCAUAUGAAUAAGGAUCGGCUAACUCCGUGCCAGCAGCCGCCGUAA